Heligmosomoides polygyrus is the source of this 71-nucleotide non-coding RNA. The record is from Rfam. NCBI's taxonomy places the organism in Eukaryota, Metazoa, Nematoda, Chromadorea, Rhabditida, Heligmosomidae.
GCGCCGGUGGUGUAAGGCGAACAUCGCUGCCCGGAAAGCAGAAGGUGCGGGUUCGAGUCCCGCCUGGCGCA